RNAcentral lists this ribosomal RNA (496 nucleotides) under uncultured bacterium. RNAcentral's name for it is "partial 16S ribosomal RNA". It matches the Rfam family "Bacterial small subunit ribosomal RNA", at positions 28 to 507 of the family's 1533-position model. The record is from RNAcentral.
GAUGAACGCUGGCGGCGUGCCUAAUACAUGCAAGUCGAGCGAACGGACGAGAAGCUUGCUUCUCUGAUGUUAGCGGCGGACGGGUGAGUAACACGUGGAUAACCUACCUAUAAGACUGGGAUAACUUCGGGAAACCGGAGCUAAUACCGGAUGAUAUUUUGAACCGCAUGGUUCAAAAGUGAAAGACGGUCUUGCUGUCACUUAUAGAUGGAUCCGCGCUGCAUUAGCUAGUUGGUAAGGUAACGGCUUACCAAGGCAACGAUGCAUAGCCGACCUGAGAGGGGAAUCGGCCAAACUGAAAGUGGAAAAGGGCCAAGAUGCCUAGGGGAGGCAGCGGAAGGGAAUCUUCGGAAAUGGCGAAAGCCUGACGGAGCAACGCCGCGUGAGUGAUGAAGGUCUUCGGAUCGUAAAACUCUGUUAUUAGGGAAGAACAUAUGUGUAAGUAACUGUGCACAUCUUGACGGUACCUAAUCAGAAAGCCACGGCUAACUACGUG